GACGAACGCUGGCGGCGUGCCUAAUACAUGCAAGUUGAGCGCUGAAGGUUGGUACUUGUACCAACUGGAUGAGCAGCGAACGGGUGAGUAACGCGUGGGGAAUCUGCCUUUGAGCGGGGGACAACAUUUGGAAACGAAUGCUAAUACCGCAUAAAAACUUUAAACACAAGUUUUAAGUUUGAAAGAUGCAAUUGCAUCACUCAAAGAUGAUCCCGCGUUGUAUUAGCUAGUAGGUGAGGUAAAGGCUCACCAAGGCGAUGAUACAUAGCCGACCUGAGAGGGUGAUCGGCCACAUUGGGACUGAGACACGGCCCAAACUCCUACGGGAGGCAGCAGUAGGGAAUCUUCGGCAAUGGACGAAAGUCUGACCGAGCAACGCCGCGUGAGUGAAGAAGGGUUUCGGAUCGUAAAACUCUGUUGGUAGAGAAGAACGUCGGUGAGAGUGGAAAGCUCAUCAAGUGACGGUAACUACCCAGAAAGGGACGGCUAACUACGUG
Molecule: ribosomal RNA, 497 nt
Filed under: uncultured bacterium
Lineage: Bacteria
Description: partial 16S ribosomal RNA
Rfam family: Bacterial small subunit ribosomal RNA
Source: RNAcentral